AAUGCAGGAAACAUUAUUAAAACAGUCAGGGAGAAAGUGUGUUAUGGCAAAAAGGCAAAUAUAGGAGUGAAGAAAGACAGCAAUCCAGGAAGAGACGUACCCAACUCAUGCUUGGUGUCCCCAUCUGUCACUAAGCCUGUCCCUCCACCAGAAGGGCCACCCUCCACAGCAGCACCCUGGCAAUCCGCACCGGAGCUACAAAGUCCUCUCUUAAUGACUUAAUGGAGAUCCAGGGAAGACUUGCUGAUGCGGCCUCAGCUCUGUGACUUCUUCCUUCCUGCGUUUUUAUUGAAGCUCCGGGAAGGGAGCCAGGACAUUUGAUGAGAGGGCAUCUGCGCCAGGGAACCUGCGGACCCGGCCGACCUGUCAGAUGAGGACACUGAGGCUUGAGAAGCGAA
RNAcentral lists this long non-coding RNA (398 nucleotides) under Equus caballus (horse). RNAcentral's name for it is "lncRNA (ENSECAG00000040230.2)". Lineage: Eukaryota; Metazoa; Chordata; Mammalia; Perissodactyla; Equidae. The record is from RNAcentral.